GAUGAAGAACGCAGCGAAAUGCGAUACGUAAUGUGAAUUGCAGAAUUCAGUGAAUCAUCGAAUCUUUGAACGCACAUUGCGCCUGCCAGCACUCUGGCAGGCAUGCCUGUUCGAGCGUCAUUUCAACCAUCAAGCCCUAGGCUUGCGUUGGAGCCCUGCGGCUGCCGCAGGCCCCUAAAAGCAGUGGCGGGCUCGCUAUCACACCGAGUGCAGUAGAUUACUCUUCGCUCAGGGCGUGUGCCGGGUUCCAGCCGUGAAACCCCCUACUUCUCAAGGUUGACCUCGGAUCAGGUAGGAAUACCCGCUGAACUUAAGCAUAUCAAUAAGCGGAGGA
Molecule: unclassified non-coding RNA, 334 nt
Filed under: soil metagenome
Description: partial contains 5.8S ribosomal RNA, internal transcribed spacer 2, and large subunit ribosomal RNA
Rfam family: 5.8S ribosomal RNA (bases 1-120)
Source: RNAcentral